RNAcentral lists this ribosomal RNA (806 nucleotides) under uncultured bacterium. Its description in RNAcentral is "bacterial SSU rRNA". It matches the Rfam family "Bacterial small subunit ribosomal RNA", at positions 8 to 812 of the family's 1533-position model. The record is from RNAcentral.
AGAGUUUGAUCCUGGCUCAGGAUGAACGCUGGCGGCGUGCUUAACACAUGCAAGUCGAACGAAACACCUUAUUUGAUUUUCUUCGGAACUGAAGAUUUGGUGAUUGAGUGGCGGACGGGUGAGUAACGCGUGGGUAACCUGCCCUGUACAGGGGGAUAACAGUCAGAAAUGACUGCUAAUACCGCAUAAGACCACAGCACCGCAUGGUGCAGGGGUAAAAACUCCGGUGGUACAGGAUGGACCCGCGUCUGAUUAGCUGGUUGGUGAGGUAACGGCUCACCAAGGCGACGAUCAGUAGCCGGCUUGAGAGAGUGAACGGCCACAUUGGGACUGAGACACGGCCCAAACUCCUACGGGAGGCAGCAGUGGGGAAUAUUGCACAAUGGGGGAAACCCUGAUGCAGCGACGCCGCGUGAGUGAAGAAGUAUCUCGGUAUGUAAAGCUCUAUCAGCAGGGAAGAAAAUGACGGUACCUGACUAAGAAGCCCCGGCUAACUACGUGCCAGCAGCCGCGGUAAUACGUAGGGGGCAAGCGUUAUCCGGAAUUACUGGGUGUAAAGGGUGCGUAGGUGGUACGGCAAGUCUGAUGUGAAAGCCCGGGGCUCAACCCCGGUACUGCAUUGGAAACUGUCGGACUAGAGUGUCGGAGGGGUAAGUGGAAUUCCUAGUGUAGCGGUGAAAUGCGUAGAUAUUAGGAGGAACACCAGUGGCGAAGGCGGCUUACUGGACGAUUACUGACGCUGAGGCUCGAAAGCGUGGGGAGCAAACAGGAUUAGAUACCCUGGUAGUCCACGCCGUAAACGAUGA